This 1186-nucleotide long non-coding RNA is filed under the name Cyanistes caeruleus (blue tit). RNAcentral describes it as "lncRNA (ENSCCEG00000018023.1)". Lineage: Eukaryota; Metazoa; Chordata; Aves; Passeriformes; Paridae. The record is from RNAcentral.
AAAGGUGCACUCUACUGCCAUUCUUCUUUGGAUCUAUGAUGCUUUACAGACUGAGGAAAUUGAGAACUCCCUCCCACAAAUGUCAACUUUUGAUCCAUUUCAGACAUAAAACUUUCCAGAAUACAGAUUAGUGGGGAAAAGCUUGCUAAAAGAAAGAGAGAUUUGUCAGCAGGCAGCCAGGCCAGCUGGGAAUGGGAGCCCUUCCCCUGGUAGGCAGUGGCUCACUUUCGAACUGCAUGGGAAGCUAGAAAGUCAUGGACAAUGCCAUGAGGGACAGAAGAGUAGUGGUCAGUACACCAGGUUUAAGUAGAAAAAGUUCUCAUAUUUCAGGUGACAGAAAGGAUAUCCUGCUCCCCUCUGAAAAGGGGAAGACCAGCCUACAAGCCAGCCUUGAGUUGGAACACAUCUGGCCAGCCUAAGGUGAUGAUCUACAGUAGUGCUUCCCACACCAUAAUGGGAGUAUAUUAAUCACCCACCGCUUACAGCUACUGUUACCUCCAAGAGGGCUUUGAAAUUCUUUGCAAGAGGUGCUUGGUUUCAUUUUCUCUUUUAUUUCCCUGCUGAGCUCUCAAAACAGGCUCUCUGCUGUGUCUGUGCAUUGAAUGCUGCUUCCAGGCCAGAGAGACUCCAGACUGGUAAAGUGGAAGACCGGGCAAUUUGUGUCAUAGAUGCUGAUUGAUCGCCUGUCCCUUUGGGCGUCUUUGUAAUGGCCUCCCAAAAGAAAGACCUACUGUAUUGGGUGGAAAACUGGAGGAGCCAUUGUGUAUUCAGCAGUGUGCAGCAUUUGUGACUAUGGACAACAACACAGACGCUCUUAGAUAGAAAAGCAUUGAGGGCAGAGUUAGGCCGUCCUGUUCUAUAAUCUCCCCCAAAAAGGGGGCUUUGAUUUUCACAUACGGGGCUAGUGGGAACAAGGAAGAGAGAUUCCUGUCUUGUGCUUGCUGAGGCUUUUUGUUUUUAAGUUAAAUUUCCUGUGUCUUCAAAGUGAGUAGAAAAUUCUGACUUCCUUAAAUAGCCUGCGUGUAUUGGGAGGAGGGCAAGGAGCUGGAAUGGCUGGGCUUUGUGCCAGGGAUUCAGUUCUGCUCUCAAGAUUAGUGCAGAAAUGGUUUGUUUUGCUUGAUAACUUGUCAAAGGCAGUGACUGAGCAUUGUCUGACUGCAUGUACCUGAAUCUCAAUUCUCAUACC